This 391-nucleotide ribosomal RNA is filed under the name uncultured bacterium. Its description in RNAcentral is "bacterial SSU rRNA". It matches the Rfam family "Bacterial small subunit ribosomal RNA", at positions 28 to 418 of the family's 1533-position model. The record is from RNAcentral.
GACGAACGCUGGCGGCAUGCUUAACACAUGCAAGUGGAGCGACGAACCUUUUAGGGGCAAAGCCGCGAACGGGUGAGUAACACGUGGGCAAUCUGCCCAGUUGACUGGAAUAACUCGAGGAAACUCGAGCUAAUACCGGAUGUGCUUGCUUCUCACAAGAGGAGUAAGUAAAGGGAGCUUCGGCUAUCCGCAAUUGGAGGAGCCUGCGGCGCAUUAGCUUGUUGGUGGGGUAACGACCUACCAAGGCAUCGAUGCGUAGCUGGUCUGAGAGGACGAUCAGCCACACUGGAACUGAGACACGGUCCAGACUCCUACGGGAGGCAGCAGUGGGGAAUCUUGCACAAUGGGCGACAGCCUGAUGCAGCAAUGCCGCGUGAGGGAAGACGGCCUC